AUUUAUUAUAAUUAAUAAAUAAAUGGAGACACAAGUUCAACGUGAAAUCCAAAUACGUAAUUUACGCAAGUAAACGCAAAUGAGUUUUCCCGGGAAAAUGACGUCUGCUCAAUUGAGGACACGUGUCCUGCAAGGCAGACCCAUCCCCCGCUCUUCCAUGCACAUUAACGAAGUAAAGUCAUUACAGCACAGCUGGUCUAUGUCACAAUGCUGGGAACCCAAAGAAAUAAAAGAUGAAGACCUCAACAGGAUGCAGAGCAUCACAUUGCUUGUAAAACUGAUAAACCAGGGCUUCAAGAGCAGUUCAUCAGCAAAUAUAAAGGCAAUAUAUUUCAGUAUUUACAAUUAAGCAAAUUACCAAUAAUAUUAAUCUGCAAAACUGAGAAGGUAAUGUAUAUUUGUGAUUCCUGAAUACAGUGCUGCAUGAAUGAGUCCUAAAACUCAUUCAUGUAUGUUUGCACUUCUGGUUGCAUCAUUGCAAAGUCAAUGUUUUUUUGAAGGUCUGAGUUGAACACAAGCUCAAGAUAUUUUCA
Long non-coding RNA from Sinocyclocheilus grahami, 533 nucleotides. RefSeq lists it as uncharacterized. NCBI's taxonomy places the organism in Eukaryota, Metazoa, Chordata, Actinopteri, Cypriniformes, Cyprinidae. The record is from RefSeq and is a predicted model, not a curated record. The transcript is spliced from 2 exons.